Molecule: non-coding RNA, 423 nt
Organism: Perognathus longimembris pacificus (Pacific pocket mouse)
Lineage: Eukaryota; Metazoa; Chordata; Mammalia; Rodentia; Heteromyidae
Source: the annotation of a RefSeq genome assembly
AUGGCCGAGGACCCCCCGCUCAGAUCACUUCAACAUUCUAGAUCACUCAAGAACAUUGGUGAUACUCUAAAGAUGAGACUUUCUCCAGGCUUAGUGACUGUGAUAUUCUUAAUAUUUGGAAGGGCUUGUGGAGAAUCUGUGAUUCAGAAGCAAGGCCAUGUGACUGUGUCAGAAGAGGCUUCCAUGACCAUAAACUGCACUUAUACAACCACAGGGUACCCAACUCUGUUUUGGUAUGUCCAGUACCCUGGAGAAGGUCCCCAGCUCCUUAUUAAAGUCACCAAGGCCAAUGAGAUGGGAAGCCACAAAGGAUUUGAAGCCAUGUAUGAUAAAAAAGCCAUCUCCUUUCACUUGAAGAAAGCCAAAGUCCUGGUGGCUGAUUCUGCUGUGUACUACUGUGCUCUGAACUUCUCUGAUGAGGAA